UACAGAGGGGGCAAGCGUUGUUCGGAAUUACUGGGCGUAAAGGGCUCGUAGGCGGCCAACUAAGUCGGAUGUGAAAUCCCCAGGCUCAACUUGGGAACUGCAUCCGAUACUGGAUGGCUUGAAUUCGGGAGAGGGAUGCAGAAUUCCAGGUGUAGCGGUGAAAUGCGUAGAUAUCUGGAGGAAUACCGGUGGCGAAGGCGGCAUCCUGGACCGACAUUGACGCUGAGGAGCGAAAGCCAGGGGAGCAAACGGG
This 253-nucleotide ribosomal RNA is filed under the name uncultured bacterium. RNAcentral describes it as "partial 16S ribosomal RNA". It matches the Rfam family "Bacterial small subunit ribosomal RNA", at positions 524 to 776 of the family's 1533-position model. The record is from RNAcentral.